Molecule: ribosomal RNA, 470 nt
Filed under: Hepatozoon canis
Lineage: Eukaryota; Apicomplexa; Hepatozoidae
Description: SSU rRNA
Rfam family: Eukaryotic small subunit ribosomal RNA
Source: RNAcentral
AGAAAUAACAAUACAAGGCAGUUAAAAUGCUUUGUAAUUGGAAUGAUAGAAAUUUAAACCCUUUUUAAAGUAUCAAUUGGAGGGCAAGUCUGGUGCCAGCAGCCGCGGUAAUUCCAGCUCCAAUAGCGUAUAUUAAAAUUGUUGCAGUUAAAAAGCUCGUAGUUGAAGUUCUGCUAAAAGUAACCGGUCUGCUUUUAAUAAAAGUGGUAUCUUGGUGUGUAUUUAGCAAUGAUGUCCUUUGAAGUGUUUUUUACUUUAUUGUAAUAAAGCAUAUUCAGGACUUUUACUUUGAGAAAAUUAGAGUGUUUCUAGCAGGCUGACGCUUUGAAUACUGCAGCAUGGAAUAAUAAGAUAGGAUUUUAGUUCUACUUUAUUGGUUUUAAGAGCUAAAUUAAUGAUUGAUAGGGACAGUUGGGGGCAUUUGUAUUUAACUGUCAGAGGUGAAAUUCUUAGAUUUGUUAAAGACAAAC